Molecule: non-coding RNA, 73 nt
Organism: Balaenoptera ricei (Rice's whale)
Lineage: Eukaryota; Metazoa; Chordata; Mammalia; Artiodactyla; Balaenopteridae
Source: the annotation of a RefSeq genome assembly
GGCUCUGUGGCGCAAUGGAUAGCGCAUUGGACUUCUAAUUCAAAGGUUGUGAGUUCGAGUCCCAUCAGAGUCA